UACGGGGGGGGCAAGCGUUGUUCGGAAUUACUGGGCGUAAAGGGCUCGUAGGCGGCCAACUAAGUCAGACGUGAAAUCCCUCAGCUUAACUGGGGAACUGCGUCUGAUACUGGAUGGCUUGAGUUUGGGAGAGGGAUGCGGAAUUCCAGGUGUAGCGGUGAAAUGCGUAGAUAUCUGGAGGAACACCGGUGGCGAAGGCGGCAUCCUGGACCAACACUGACACUGAGGAGCGAAAGCCAGGGGAGCAAACAGG
Molecule: ribosomal RNA, 253 nt
Filed under: uncultured bacterium
Lineage: Bacteria
Description: partial 16S ribosomal RNA
Rfam family: Bacterial small subunit ribosomal RNA
Source: RNAcentral